Molecule: non-coding RNA, 85 nt
Filed under: Tenuibacillus multivorans
Lineage: Bacteria; Bacillati; Bacillota; Bacilli; Caryophanales; Bacillaceae
Source: RNAcentral
GACCGCGAAGUGCUGGGAAACUAGCAUGCUUCGUGCGGAGCAGGGGAAAAGCUGGGGAUAACUUCAAAUGCUUACCUAUUGCUAA